CCAAUAGCGUAUAUUAAAGUUGUUGCAGUUAAGAAGCUCGUAGUUGAAUUUCGGGAUCAAUAUGUCGGUCGUGCCUUCGGUACGUACUGGCAUCAUUGAUUUCUCCCUUCUGACGAACCACGAUGUCAUUAAUUUGGUGUCAUGGGGAAUCAGGACUGUUACUUUGAAAAAAUUAGAGUGUUUAAAGCAGGCUCACGCUUGAAUACAUUAGCAUGGAAUAAUGAAAUAGGACGUUUGACCCUAUUUUGUUGGUUUCUAGGAUAAACGUAAUGAUUAAUAGGGAUAGUUGGGGGCAUUAGUAUUCAAUUGUCAGAGGUGAAAUUCUUGGAUUUAUUGAAGACUAACUACUGCGAAAGCAUUUGCCAAGGAUGUUUUCAUUAAUCAAGAACGAAAGUUAGGGGAUCGAAGACGAUCAGAUACCGUCGUAGUCUUAACCAUAAACUAUGCCGACUAGGGAUCGGAUGAUGUUAAUUUUUUAAUGACUCAUUCGGCGCCUUGCG
This 500-nucleotide ribosomal RNA is filed under the name uncultured Glomeromycotina. RNAcentral describes it as "partial small subunit ribosomal RNA". It matches the Rfam family "Eukaryotic small subunit ribosomal RNA", at positions 591 to 1092 of the family's 1831-position model. Lineage: Eukaryota; Fungi; Glomeromycota. The record is from RNAcentral.